This 492-nucleotide ribosomal RNA is filed under the name uncultured bacterium. RNAcentral's name for it is "partial 16S ribosomal RNA". It matches the Rfam family "Bacterial small subunit ribosomal RNA", at positions 29 to 507 of the family's 1533-position model. The record is from RNAcentral.
AGUGAACGCUGGCGGUAGGCCUAACACAUGCAAGUCGAACGGCAGCACAGUAAGAGCUUGCUCUUACGGGUGGCGAGUGGCGGACGGGUGAGGAAUACAUCGGAAUCUACUUUUUCGUGGGGGAUAACGUAGGGAAACUUACGCUAAUACCGCGUACGACCUACGGGUGAAAGCAGGGGAUCUUCGGACCUUGCGCGAUUGAAUGAGCCGAUGUCGGAUUAGCUAGUUGGCGGGGUAAAGGCCCACCAAGGCGACGAUCCGUAGCUGGUCUGAGAGGAUGAUCAGCCACACUGGAACUGAGACACGGUCCAGACUCCUACGGAAGGCAGCAGUGGGGAAUAUUGGACAAUGGGCGCAAGCCUGAUCCAGCCAUACCGCGUGGGUGAAGAAGGCCUUCGGGUUGUAAAGCCCUUUUGUUGGGAAAGAAAAGCAGCAGGUUAAUACCCCGCUGUUCUGACGGUACCCAAAGAAUAAGCACCGGCUAACUUCGUG